CCAAUAGCGUAUAUUAAAGUUGUUGCAGUUAAAAAGCUCGUAGUUGAAUUUCGGGAUUGACGUGAUGGUCACGCCUUAAGGGGUAUGAACUGUUACUGUUGAUUUCUCACCUUCUGGAGAAACUUGAUGUCCUUUAUUGGGUGUCUUGCGGAUCCAGGACCUUUACCUUGAAAAAAUUAGAGUGUUUAAAGCAGGCAUUUUUGCUCGAAUACAUUAGCAU
Molecule: ribosomal RNA, 220 nt
Filed under: uncultured Entrophospora
Lineage: Eukaryota; Fungi; Glomeromycota; Glomeromycetes; Entrophosporales; Entrophosporaceae
Description: uncultured Claroideoglomus partial small subunit ribosomal RNA
Rfam family: Eukaryotic small subunit ribosomal RNA
Source: RNAcentral